Molecule: long non-coding RNA, 623 nt
Organism: Solanum dulcamara
Lineage: Eukaryota; Viridiplantae; Streptophyta; Magnoliopsida; Solanales; Solanaceae
Exons: 2
Source: RefSeq, a predicted model, not a curated record
UGUAGUACAAAACAUGUUAAAAAGACUACUUGUUGCAGAUUCAAGCAGUAGCAAAGCAUCGAAAUAUUUGGGUGGAGAAUGCUAAUAGAUUGGUUGCUGGUUUCCUUGAGAUGUUUGAAGAGGGUUGCCACAAAAUGUUUGCCAGGCUGAAAAAUUUUAGCACCUCGUGCACACAAAUCAUAUAUUUGCACUUCUGAUCAUGCAUAUUGGAUUUCAACAAGGAACUGUCAUAAGAGACUGAAUUCAAGAGCAGAUGAGAACCGAGAGUAUAAAAGAGAUUCUAUAUGACAAAGAAGAGGAUGAUGAUGAAUGUGACUACUAUUACGGAAGCAAUGACGAUGAUGAAGAAAACUACGAUGGUGAAGAAAUAGGGUUCGUCACUUUAUCAUGUUAUAUGGUGAGUUUCACAGUGUAAAAUGUAGUUUAUGGAUCAAGUUGGAUGAAGAUGUAUUAUGUCUAAUGGUUUGAUGCGCAUGCAAUAUGCGUGUUUUCUUUUGGUAGAAUGUAGUGGCAAUUAGUCAUGUUGUAAACUGUGAUCAAGCAUAGUCUUGUACCAUAACGUUGUCAAGCAGAGUGAUUUGUCUAAUAUGAGAUGGAUAAUCAUAUGUUCUUGAAAAUGCAAA